Molecule: long non-coding RNA, 523 nt
Organism: Ricinus communis (castor bean)
Lineage: Eukaryota; Viridiplantae; Streptophyta; Magnoliopsida; Malpighiales; Euphorbiaceae
Exons: 2
Source: RefSeq, a predicted model, not a curated record
UCCAAACAUACUUUUAUGUUCUCCCAUGACAAUGUCCAGCUAUUUUAGCUACUCAAUUCAAUGAGAAACAAAGGCAGUGCGAUGCCAAUCCAACAAACAUCAAGGGCUUCAGGUGAAAUUUUUAUUCUUGGUUCUUCAUUCAACUACUCCAACUUUUCAAGCUUGCUUGUGGCGUUAAUCGUCGACUUAUGACUCACAAUUCUUUUCUCCUUCCCCGAGUUUGGUGUCAAUUCUUGUAACUCAGGUUGACGUCACAGUACGUCAAGAAGUCAUGAAAUCUUUUGCAGCUAUCGAUCUCUCGAAUAGAGAAGUUGACAGGUGUUGCACAAAUUUGUAAACCUAUUAUUAUCCAGCAUAAAUUAGUCGGGUAUACUGCAGACUUGCAAGAUUUAUCGCAUGUGAUACAGGAUGGUUAGAAAGAUGCCUUGCUGAGGAGAAUGUUGAAAGAGCAUAUAUAUAUUGAUUCUCUGUUCUUUAAUUUGGUAUUUAGUUGAUAACUUGAAUUUAAAGAUUGAUUUCAAUA